Molecule: long non-coding RNA, 367 nt
Organism: Xiphophorus hellerii (green swordtail)
Lineage: Eukaryota; Metazoa; Chordata; Actinopteri; Cyprinodontiformes; Poeciliidae
Exons: 3
Source: RefSeq, a predicted model, not a curated record
AUUACACCACCUCUCACUCACAUAAAGUGCAAUCCCGCCGCCCUUCUUCUUCCGACUCUUGGAAAAGUCCCUGUCCCCCCACACCAAGGAAAAUCCAGGGACCUCCACGCUGUAGUCCGGAAUAAGCGAGUGUAGUCCAGGUUUCCGUGAAGCAGAAGAUACUGCACUCCCUGUACUCCUUCUGGGUCCUCACCAGUGCCACCUGCAGCCCCGGCGUCUCCUCCGUAACUCCUCUGGGACCACAGGCCUGUCUCCGGGCAGCAGCAGAGGCUUACACAGCGCAAUCAGCUGUUCACGCACGUAAACAAUGCCGCUACUCCGUUCGGCGAGGUUCUCCGUAACAAAGAGUAGAAAAAGUAGCAGGAGA